This 459-nucleotide ribosomal RNA is filed under the name uncultured bacterium. Its description in RNAcentral is "partial 16S ribosomal RNA". It matches the Rfam family "Bacterial small subunit ribosomal RNA", at positions 339 to 795 of the family's 1533-position model. The record is from RNAcentral.
CUACGGGUUGCUCCAGUGAGGAAUAUUGGUCAAUGGCCGAGAGGCUGAACCAGCCAUCCCGCGUGCAGGAUGACGGCCCUAUGGGUUGUAAACUGCUUUUCUACGCCAAGAAAUCUGAUUACGUGUAAUUAGUUGACGGUAGCGUAGGAAUAAGCAUCGGCUAACUCCGUGCCAGCAGCCGCGGUAAUACGGAGGAUGCAAGCGUUAUCCGGAUUCAUUGGGUUUAAAGGGUGCGCAGGCGGGCUUGUAAGUCAGUGGUGAAAUACUGCCGCUUAACGGUAGAACUGCCAUUGAUACUGCAAGUCUUGAAUAUGGUUGAGGUAGGCGGAAUGUGUUGUGUAGCGGUGAAAUGCAUAGAUAUGGCACAGAACGCCGAUUGCGAAGGCAGCAUACUAAGCCAUUAUUGACGCUGAGGCACGAAAGCGUGGGGAGCGAACAGGAUUAGAUACCCCAGUAGUC